GGGGCUAUAGCUCAGCUGGGAGAGCGCCUGCCUUGCACGCAGGAGGUCGGCGGUUCGAUCCCGCUUAGCUCCA
RNAcentral lists this transfer RNA (73 nucleotides) under Proteus mirabilis. Its description in RNAcentral is "tRNA-Ala". It matches the Rfam family "tRNA". Rfam says of the family: Transfer RNA (tRNA) molecules are approximately 80 nucleotides in length. Their secondary structure includes four short double-helical elements and three loops (D, anti-codon, and T loops). Further hydrogen bonds mediate the characteristic L-shaped molecular structure. tRNAs have two regions of fundamental functional importance: the anti-codon, which is responsible for specific mRNA codon recognition, and the 3' end, to which the tRNAs corresponding amino acid is attached (by aminoacyl-tRNA synthetases). tRNAs cope with the degeneracy of the genetic code in two manners: having more than one tRNA (with a specific anti-codon) for a particular amino acid; and 'wobble' base-pairing, i.e. permitting non-standard base-pairing at the 3rd anti-codon position. Lineage: Bacteria; Pseudomonadati; Pseudomonadota; Gammaproteobacteria; Enterobacterales; Morganellaceae. The record is from RNAcentral.